This 486-nucleotide ribosomal RNA is filed under the name uncultured bacterium. RNAcentral's name for it is "bacterial SSU rRNA". It matches the Rfam family "Bacterial small subunit ribosomal RNA", at positions 28 to 513 of the family's 1533-position model. The record is from RNAcentral.
GACGAACGCUGGCGGCGUGCUUAAUACAUGCAAGUCAACUUGACUUUAGAUAGCAAUAUCGAAAAGUAGGGUGGCGCACGGGUGCGUAACGCGUAGGUAAUCUGCCCUGAGGUCUGACAUAACCCGUCGAAAGGCGGGCUAACAUCAGAUGAUAUAUAAUCACGACAUCGUGGAAAUAUCAAAUCUUCGGAGCCUUGGGAUGAGCCUGCGUCUGAUUAGGUAGUUGGCGGAGUAAUAGCCCACCAAGCCUACGAUCAGUAGCUGGUCUGAGAGGAUGAUCAGCCACACUGGAACUGAGACACGGUCCAGACUCCUACGGGAGGCAGCAGUAAGGAAUAUUGCUCAAUGGGGGAAACCCUGAAGCAGCAACGCCGCGUGAAGGAUGAAAUACUUUUGUAUGUAAACUUCUGUAAGAUGGGAAAAAUAUUCUCCUCGGGAGAAUUGAUUGUACCAUCAGAGUAAGCCCCGGCUAACUACGUGCCAGCA